Molecule: long non-coding RNA, 433 nt
Organism: Ostrea edulis (European flat oyster)
Lineage: Eukaryota; Metazoa; Mollusca; Bivalvia; Ostreida; Ostreidae
Exons: 3
Source: RefSeq, a predicted model, not a curated record
UACCCAUGUCCUAAAUCAUAAUGUAUCGGUUAUGCAAGAAAAUUCGUUUGGAGUGUUUCCGGUUAUGAGUUAAAAGAGAACAACACGCCGCUUCGACAGGAACGUAUUCACCAAAACUAAAUAAAGAUGCUGUUCUUCCGGAACCAAAGACGUGGCAAUCAAGGCUAGACCCAGAUAGUAUGUCAACUGUAUGCAUAGUAGAUGCAUAGACUUGAAGAAGAUAGAAUGUAUUAUUCUAAGGGACAUUUAGACAGAGAUCGCCUCCAAAAAAAUAUAUUUACCGAAUGCACCAAAUGGACAUGCCAGAGAACAACCCAUCAGGCAACAUGAUGGUUACAGAAUAAAUGACUCUAUAAGCUGUUGCAGCCGCAGAGACUUGGACUAAACUUUGAUUACAUGUCAGAAUCUAAUGUGUAAUAAAAAUACUAGUUAA